RNAcentral lists this transfer RNA (72 nucleotides) under Mesitornis unicolor (brown roatelo). It matches the Rfam family "tRNA". From Rfam's summary of the family: Transfer RNA (tRNA) molecules are approximately 80 nucleotides in length. Their secondary structure includes four short double-helical elements and three loops (D, anti-codon, and T loops). The record is from Rfam by way of RNAcentral. Lineage: Eukaryota; Metazoa; Chordata; Aves; Mesitornithiformes; Mesitornithidae.
GGCCUCAUGGCGCAAUGGCAGUGCAUUGGACUCCCUAUCGGAAGGUUGUGUGUUGAAGUCACACUGGGAUCA